Cyprinus carpio (common carp) is the source of this 2639-nucleotide long non-coding RNA. RefSeq lists it as uncharacterized. The transcript has 5 exons. Lineage: Eukaryota; Metazoa; Chordata; Actinopteri; Cypriniformes; Cyprinidae. The record is from RefSeq and is a predicted model, not a curated record.
GAGUCACUGAGACGAUUCUAAAUCCUCAGGCCGGUCAUGUGACUCAACAUGGCGUCAUCAUGACGUGUAAUCGCGCACCUGUAGAAUAAACAGAUUUGGUCUUCAGUCUUCACGACUUCAUUUCUGGUAUAUAGUCCUGCAUCAUGUUCCUGGCAGUCUUUGAGUCCCCAGAGUGAUGGUGUGAACCGGCACAGUGCACACGGGACAAAGAAGAGGCCUGUGGCCCACCUGAGUGUGAUUGAAGUCUCUCCUCUACAGGAGAUGGUGUCUCCUUGCCCUCCCAUCGAAUCAAUCUGUUUAUCUAAGGCCCGGUGCUCAUGGCACAUACAUUUGUGUUGGUCAAAAUGAAAAGAAAGUGUGAAAGAGAGUGGGACUGGCCUCUCCAGAUGCCUGGCAGUGGCAUGGAACAAAUUAACAUAAAUGUCAUUGUCAGAAUGAAAUGAAGACAAAAUCUGGGCCUGCGAGCAAGCUGUGCUACCAGCUGAUGACAAGACGUUUGACCUCAGUUGAAAAGCUCCGGGUAAACAAGUCAUCGCAAGCGUCCCCCCUUCAGUUCCAAACAGCUUGUGUCCCAUCAGUACGUGUGUUUUGCCAGGAUGGAUGACAGGAAAACAGUCUCACCUUGUGUUCAUAAUAGAAACAGAGUACAUAGUGACCAGGUGUGCGGUAAUGGGAUGCAUUGCUGAUUCUUACAAUCACACAGAGAUCCCAGCAGGCAUGUGUCGAAACAGCUCCGCCUCGUCUUAUCCGUUUACUUCGCUUAGUGUAGUGUAUGGCUGUAAGAAUAUGAAUGCUUCUGGUCUUCACUUCCUACUUGAGCCCAGCAGGCAACAGCCCAAACAAAGUGACAAUAAGCCAUCUGUCGUACAAGCGUCGACUGCUGCACAGUCUCCAGUGCCUCCGGAGCUCCUUACUGGGGGAUAUUAGCAGGGUUAAACAGUCGGUAGGAAGGAAAGCUCUUGGAAAGCACAGCCAUAUGCUGCUUCUGCUUAACUGCACAGUCAAUGAAAGCUUGCGUGAAAUUCUUUUCUGUGAAGAUGUUAUGCUUUUGGUAUCCAUUUUUAAGGAAAUCAUCAGGUGAUGAUUAGGUUGGGAACAUGUGAUUUGAUUAAUAAACGUCAAAGCAUAUGUAACGGUAAUUUUGUAGGAACCCUCAUCAAGUUUGUGAGGCUUCUCAUCUGUGUGACAGUUAUCAGCCUUUUUCUCCAUUUUAUGUCACCAAUCACCUUUAGCUAGAGCGUAUUUAAAAAGCCAUUGAUCUUUAAAAUGCAGUGCUUUAAUAUGACAGUAACAGUUGUACGUGACGCAGGAAGUCAAACUGUGGAGAUUGAUGAGGGCUUGCACGUGAAUUAUAAUCCAUCUACCUGAGUGAUGCCUGCAUUGUGUUCCAUACCAGCAGGCCGACAAAUAAAUAAAACCCACAAAGGUGACACUAGGAAUUGAUACUUAACAAUCCCUCUGAGCAACAAGCACUAGAAGUGGCUUUGACUGAGAGGAAAACUCCCCCGGAGAGACAGAGAGCGACAGAGAAAUGGCAAAGCUAGGAAGGUUAAUGGGAAAGAAUGGACUGGAUUUGCCAAAGGUCACACAUACAGAGUCAGCACCUUGUUUAUGAUUAGAAGAGGUCUGAGCACAGCUUGUGUUUGAGCGGCUUAAUAAAGCGCUUUAAAUGACUAUUGAUUCAUGGUUCGGAAAGACAACUGUGAAUCUACUAUGAGGUGAUUACCUAUGUUAGCAUAAGAUCCAGCGUAUUUAAUCCUUAAUGAGAGGCUGUAUGGUAAAGUGUGGUCGCAGAGGUUGAUCCUAUCCUUUUUAAUUGGCCUGAGGACAUAUAUUUCAUCAUAAUAAAUAAUGUUGUAUCUUCUAAUUUCUAAAAUUGUAGUCGGUCAUGAGAUGUUUGAAGACAAAUUGUGAAUUUUAAUGGCCGGUGCACCAUCUCUUAUGCAAAUUGACUGUAGAAUUAAUUGAUUCGAUCCAAUUUCCAGAUCCUUAACUAGAUUGUGGGAUUACUAACUAAAUCUGGAAUGUGAUGUAUGUAUGGUGUCCUGUGGGCCGUGUGGUGCAAGGCCUUAACUUGCUGUUCUGCCAAUUUUUCAAAAAUUCCCAAGAAUUUAUUUGGAGCGUAGGCCAUAAUCUCAUUCCCUUCGCUGAAACGGGAUGUGAAUAUGAUGAGCAACUGAUGAGAGUCUGUUAGUGCACUCAGUCUAGGUUAGUGCUAUGGAUCAAUGCGUGACCCUAUUGGGAAAAAAAUGGGAAUUUGGCAGAAUUGACCUUUAGAUGAAAAUAAAUGGAAUUAGAGCAAAUAAAAAGAAAGCAAUAUCCAGUUAGACUGGUAAAAUUGCAAAGUGUAUGAGUAUAAUUACUUGAUGUAAGUAAUGAGGUUGCAUAGUUGUAAUGAUGAUUUCCUCGUGAAGAUAUUGAUACUGAUAGGUUGCUGUGGAGAAAGUGUGGCAUGGUGUGCUUUUGUUCAAGUAUGCAUGUGUUUGUGCACUCUAGCAUUCAUAAAGUCGUAGAAUUUAUAUGCUACCCUCCGUAUUUUGUUAUAUUUAUCAGUGAAACUCAGAUCUACUUAUUUGGCUGAUUCAGCAAUAUACAUUAAAACAGAAACCUGUUUUUAUUCUAUAUGUAUUGUGAACUUU